RNAcentral lists this ribosomal RNA (2927 nucleotides) under Klebsiella oxytoca. Its description in RNAcentral is "23S ribosomal RNA". It matches the Rfam family "Bacterial large subunit ribosomal RNA". Lineage: Bacteria; Pseudomonadati; Pseudomonadota; Gammaproteobacteria; Enterobacterales; Enterobacteriaceae. The record is from RNAcentral.
GGGUUGUGAGGUUAAGCGACUAAGCGUACACGGUGGAUGCCCUGGCAGUCAGAGGCGAUGAAGGACGUGCUAAUCUGCGAAAAGCGUCGGUAAGGUGAUAUGAACCGUUAUAACCGGCGAUGUCCGAAUGGGGAAACCCAGUGCAAUUCGUUGCACUAUCGUUAACUGAAUACAUAGGUUAACGAGGCGAACCGGGGGAACUGAAACAUCUAAGUACCCCGAGGAAAAGAAAUCAACCGAGAUUCCCCCAGUAGCGGCGAGCGAACGGGGAGCAGCCCGGAGUCUGAAUCAGCUUGUGUGUUAGUGGAAGCGUCUGGAAAGUCGCAGGGUACAGGGUGAUACUCCCGUACACUAAAACACACAGGCUGUGAACUCGAAGAGUAGGGCGGGACACGUGGUAUCCUGUCUGAAUAUGGGGGGACCAUCCUCCAAGGCUAAAUACUCCUGACUGACCGAUAGUGAACCAGUACCGUGAGGGAAAGGCGAAAAGAACCCCGGCGAGGGGAGUGAAAAAGAACCUGAAACCGUGUACGUACAAGCAGUAGGAGCCCACUUGUUGGGUGACUGCGUACCUUUUGUAUAAUGGGUCAGCGACUUAUAUUCUGUAGCAAGGUUAACCGUAUAGGGGAGCCGCAGGGAAACCGAGUCUUAACUGGGCGUUAAGUUGCAGGGUAUAGACCCGAAACCCGGUGAUCUAGCCAUGGGCAGGUUGAAGGUUGGGUAACACUAACUGGAGGACCGAACCGACUAAUGUUGAAAAAUUAGCGGAUGACUUGUGGCUGGGGGUGAAAGGCCAAUCAAACCGGGAGAUAGCUGGUUCUCCCCGAAAGCUAUUUAGGUAGCGCCUCGUGAAUUCAUCUUCGGGGGUAGAGCACUGUUUCGGCUAGGGGGUCAUCCCGACUUACCAACCCGAUGCAAACUACGAAUACCGAAGAAUGUUAUCACGGGAGACACACGGCGGGUGCUAACGUCCGUCGUGAAGAGGGAAACAACCCAGACCGCCAGCUAAGGUCCCAAAGUCAUGGUUAAGUGGGAAACGAUGUGGGAAGGCCCAGACAGCCAGGAUGUUGGCUUAGAAGCAGCCAUCAUUUAAAGAAAGCGUAAUAGCUCACUGGUCGAGUCGGCCUGCGCGGAAGAUGUAACGGGGCUAAACCAUGCACCGAAGCUGCGGCAGCGACACUAUGUGUUGUUGGGUAGGGGAGCGUUCUGUAAGCCGUUGAAGGUGGCCUGUGAGGGUUGCUGGAGGUAUCAGAAGUGCGAAUGCUGACAUAAGUAACGAUAAUGCGGGUGAAAAACCCGCACGCCGGAAGACCAAGGGUUCCUGUCCAACGUUAAUCGGGGCAGGGUGAGUCGACCCCUAAGGCGAGGCCGAAAGGCGUAGUCGAUGGGAAACAGGUUAAUAUUCCUGUACUUGGUGUUACUGCGAAGGGGGGACGGAGAAGGCUAUGUUGGCCGGGCGACGGUUGUCCCGGUUUAAGCAUGUAGGCGGAUGUUCCAGGUAAAUCCGGAACGUCACUAACGCUGAGGUGUGAUGACGAGGCACUACGGUGCUGAAGUGACAAAUGCCCUGCUUCCAGGAAAAGCCUCUAAGCAUCAGGUAACAUCAAAUCGUACCCCAAACCGACACAGGUGGUCAGGUAGAGAAUACCAAGGCGCUUGAGAGAACUCGGGUGAAGGAACUAGGCAAAAUGGUGCCGUAACUUCGGGAGAAGGCACGCUGAUGGUAAGUGAAGUGACUUGCUCAUGGAGCUGAAAUCAGUCGAAGAUACCAGCUGGCUGCAACUGUUUAUUAAAAACACAGCACUGUGCAAACACGAAAGUGGACGUAUACGGUGUGACGCCUGCCCGGUGCCGGAAGGUUAAUUGAUGGGGUUAUCCUCGCGGAGAAGCUCUUGAUCGAAGCCCCGGUAAACGGCGGCCGUAACUAUAACGGUCCUAAGGUAGCGAAAUUCCUUGUCGGGUAAGUUCCGACCUGCACGAAUGGCGUAAUGAUGGCCAGGCUGUCUCCACCCGAGACUCAGUGAAAUUGAACUCGCUGUGAAGAUGCAGUGUACCCGCGGCAAGACGGAAAGACCCCGUGAACCUUUACUAUAGCUUGACACUGAACACUGGUCCUUGAUGUGUAGGAUAGGUGGGAGGCUUUGAAGUGUGGACGCCAGUCUGCAUGGAGCCAUCCUUGAAAUACCACCCUUUAAUGGCUGGUGUUCUAACGUGGGCCCGUAAUCCGGGUUGCGGACAGUGUCUGGUGGGUAGUUUGACUGGGGCGGUCUCCUCCUAAAGAGUAACGGAGGAGCACGAAGGUCAGCUAAUCCUGGUCGGACAUCAGGAGGUUAGUGCAAUGGCAUAAGCUGGCUUGACUGCGAGCGUGACGGCGCGAGCAGGUGCGAAAGCAGGUCAUAGUGAUCCGGUGGUUCUGAAUGGAAGGGCCAUCGCUCAACGGAUAAAAGGUACUCCGGGGAUAACAGGCUGAUACCGCCCAAGAGUUCAUAUCGACGGCGGUGUUUGGCACCUCGAUGUCGGCUCAUCACAUCCUGGGGCUGAAGUAGGUCCCAAGGGUAUGGCUGUUCGCCAUUUAAAGUGGUACGCGAGCUGGGUUUAGAACGUCGUGAGACAGUUCGGUCCCUAUCUGCCGUGGGCGCUGGAGAAUUGAGGGGGGCUGCUCCUAGUACGAGAGGACCGGAGUGGACGCAUCACUGGUGUUCGGGUUGUCAUGCCAAUGGCAUUGCCCGGUAGCUAAAUGCGGAAGAGAUAAGUGCUGAAAGCAUCUAAGCACGAAACUUGCCCCGAGAUGAGUUCUCCCUGACUCCUUGAGAGUCCUGAAGGAACGUUGAAGACGACGACGUUGAUAGGCCGGGUGUGUAAGCGCAGCGAUGCGUUGAGCUAACCGGUACUAAUGAACCGUGAGGCUUAACCUUACAACGCCGAAG